ACGGAAGGCAGCAGUGGGGAAUAUUGGGCAAUGGGCGCAAGCCUGACCCAGCAACGCCGCGUGAAGGAUGAAGGUCUUCGGAUUGUAAACUUCAGUCAACAGGGAAGAAACAAAUGACGGUACCUGUGGAGGAAGCCACGGCUAACUACGUGCCAGCAGCCGCGGUAAUACGUAGGUGGCAAGCGUUAUCCGGAUUUACUGGGUGUAAAGGGUGUGUAGGCGGGUUUGCAAGUCAGAUGUGAAAAUUAUGGGCUUAACUCAUAACUUGCAUUUGAAACUGUAGAUCUUGAGUGUCGGAGAGGUAAAUGGAAUUCCCAGUGUAGCGGUGAAAUGCGUAGAUAUUGGGAGGAACACCAGUGGCGAAGGCGAUUUACUGGACGAUUACUGACGCUGAGACACGAAAGUGUGGGGAGCAAACAGGAUUAGAUACCCUGGUA
Molecule: ribosomal RNA, 437 nt
Filed under: uncultured Oscillospiraceae bacterium
Lineage: Bacteria; Bacillati; Bacillota; Clostridia; Eubacteriales; Oscillospiraceae
Description: bacterial SSU rRNA
Rfam family: Bacterial small subunit ribosomal RNA
Source: RNAcentral